RNAcentral lists this ribosomal RNA (424 nucleotides) under uncultured microorganism. RNAcentral's name for it is "bacterial SSU rRNA". It matches the Rfam family "Bacterial small subunit ribosomal RNA", at positions 9 to 430 of the family's 1533-position model. The record is from RNAcentral.
GAGUUUGAUCUUGGCUCAGAUUGAACGCUGGCGGCAUGCCUUACACAUGCAAGUCGAACGGCAGCAUGAUCUAGCUUGCUAGAUUGAUGGCGAGUGGCGAACGGGUGAGUAAUACAUCGGAACGUGCCCUGUAGUGGGGGAUAACUAGUCGAAAGAUUAGCUAAUACCGCAUACGACCUGAGGGUGAAAGUGGGGGACCGCAAGGCCUCAUGCUAUAGGAGCGGCCGAUGUCUGAUUAGCUAGUUGGUGGGGUAAAGGCCCACCAAGGCGACGAUCAGUAGCUGGUCUGAGAGGACGAUCAGCCACACUGGGACUGAGACACGGCCCAGACUCCUACGGGAGGCAGCAGUGGGGAAUUUUGGACAAUGGGGGCGAACCCUGAUCCAGCAAUGCCGCGUGUGUGAAGAAGGCCUCGGUUGUAAGU